RNAcentral lists this ribosomal RNA (481 nucleotides) under uncultured bacterium. RNAcentral's name for it is "partial 16S ribosomal RNA". It matches the Rfam family "Bacterial small subunit ribosomal RNA", at positions 28 to 507 of the family's 1533-position model. The record is from RNAcentral.
GAUGAACGCUGGCGGCGUGCCUAACACAUGCCAGUCGAGCGAAGCGCUUAAAUUAGAUUUCUUCGGAAUGACGAUUUUUGUGACUGAGCGGCGGACGGGUGAGUAACGCGUGGGUAACCUGCCUCAUACAGGGGGAUAACAGUUAGAAAUGACUGCUAAUACCGCAUAAGACCCCAGCUUCGCAUGAAGCGGUGGUAAAAACUCCGGUGGUAUGAGAUGGACCCGCGUCUGAUUAGCUAGUUGGUAAGGUAACGGCUUACCAAGGCGACGAACAGUAGCCGACAUGAGAGGGUGACCGGCCACAUUGGGACUGAGACACGGCCCAGACUCCUACGGGAGGCAGCAGUGGGGAAUAUUGCACAAUGGGGGAAACCCUGAUGCAGCGACGCCGCGUGAAGGAUGAAGUAUUUCGGUAUGUAAACUUCUAUCAGAAGGGAAGAAAGUGACGGUACCUGACUAAGAAGCCCCGGCUAACUACGUG